AGAGGACCCAAACUCUAAUGUUUCUUAUUGUAACUUCUGAGUAAAACAAACAAAUAAAUCAAAACUUUCAACAACGGAUCUCUUGGUUCUGGCAUCGAUGAAGAACGCAGCAAAAUGCGAUAAGUAAUGUGAAUUGCAGAAUUCAGUGAAUCAUCGAAUCUUUGAACGCACAUUGCGCCCGCUGGUAUUCCGGCGGGCAUGCCUGUUCGAGCGUCAUUUCAACCCUCAAGCCCCCGGGUUUGGUGUUGGGGAUCGGCUCUGCCUCACGGCGGUGCCGCCCCCGAAAUACAUUGGCGGUCUCGCUGCAGCCUCCAUUGCGUAGUAGCUAACACCUCGCAACUGGAACGCGGCGCGGCCAUGCCGUAAAACCCCAACUUCUGAAUGUUGACCUCGGAUCAGGUAGGAAUACCCGCUGAACUUAAGCAUAUC
RNAcentral lists this ribosomal RNA (429 nucleotides) under Fusarium lateritium. RNAcentral's name for it is "eukaryotic LSU rRNA". The stretch from base 63 to 216 matches the Rfam family "5.8S ribosomal RNA". Lineage: Eukaryota; Fungi; Ascomycota; Sordariomycetes; Hypocreales; Nectriaceae. The record is from RNAcentral.